This 310-nucleotide ribosomal RNA is filed under the name Onychalloptes microphaeton. RNAcentral's name for it is "partial 12S small subunit ribosomal RNA". Lineage: Eukaryota; Metazoa; Arthropoda; Arachnida; Sarcoptiformes; Alloptidae. The record is from RNAcentral.
CUUAAUUUUGUUGGCGGUUAAUUAACCUUUCACAGGAAUUUGUUAACUUUAAUUGAUACCCCGCUUUUAUUUUUACUAUUUUUAAUUUUAUGUACGGCUGUUUUUAUUUUAAUUUAGUUAUUUUUAUUCAAAAAUUAAUUUUAAAAUUCAGGUCAAUGUGUAGAUUAUAAAUUAGUUUUUAAUGAGUUACUUUUAUUGGAUAUUUUUUUUAAUUAAUUUUAAAAUUGGAUGUGAUAGUAAAUUAAUAACAAAAUUUUUUAUUGAUUUAGGUCCUAAUUAAAGCACAUAUCGCCCGUCACUCUUUUGAUAG